AACGAACGCUGGCGGCAGGCCUAACACAUGCAAGUCGAACGCCGUAGCAAUACGGAGUGGCAGACGGGUGAGUAACACGUGGGAACGUACCCCUCGGUUCGGGAUAACUCAGGGAAACUUGAGCUAAUACCGGAUACGUCCGAGAGGAGAAAGAUUUAUCGCCGAGGGAUCGGCCCGCGUCUGAUUAGCUUGUUGGUGAGGUAACGGCUCACCAAGGCGACGAUCAGUAGCUGGUCNGAGAGGAUGAUCAGCCACAUUGGGACUGAGACACGGCCCAAAACUCCUACGGGAGGCAGCAGUGGGGAAUAUUGGACAAUGGGCGCAAGCCUGAUCCAGCCAUGCCGCGUGAGUGAUGAAGGCCCUAGGGUUGUAAAGCUC
RNAcentral lists this ribosomal RNA (378 nucleotides) under uncultured bacterium. RNAcentral's name for it is "bacterial SSU rRNA". It matches the Rfam family "Bacterial small subunit ribosomal RNA", at positions 29 to 433 of the family's 1533-position model. The record is from RNAcentral.